RNAcentral lists this ribosomal RNA (668 nucleotides) under uncultured Actinomycetales bacterium. RNAcentral's name for it is "bacterial SSU rRNA". It matches the Rfam family "Bacterial small subunit ribosomal RNA", at positions 97 to 779 of the family's 1533-position model. The record is from RNAcentral. Lineage: Bacteria; Bacillati; Actinomycetota; Actinomycetes; Actinomycetales.
GGCGAACGGGUGAGGAACACGUGAGGAAUCUGCCCAUCAUUUUGGGAUAACACCGGGAAACCGGUGCUAAUACCGAAUACUCCGUCUUGGCGGCAUCGCUAGGCCGGGAAAGAAUUUCGAUGAUGGAUGAUCUCGCGGCCUAUCAGCUAGUUGGUGAGGUAACGGCUCACCAAGGCAACGACGGGUAGCCGGCCUGAGAGGGCGACCGGCCACACUGGGACUGAGACACGGCCCAGACUCCUACGGGAGGCAGCAGUAGGGAAUAUUGGGCAAUGGGCGCAAGCCUGACCCAGCGACGCCGCGUGAGGGAUGAAGGUCUUCGGAUUGUAAACCUCUUUCAGUAGGGAAGAAGCGAAAGUGACGGUACCUAAAGAAGAAGCACCGGCUAACUAUGUGCCAGCAGCCGCGGUAAUACAUAGGGUGCAAGCGUUGUCCGGAAUUAUUGGGCGUAAAGAGCUCGUAGGUCGUUAAUCACGUCGGAUGUGAAAAUCUGAGGCUCAACCUCAGACCUGCAUUCGAUACGGGUUAACUAGAGUGUGGUAGGGGAGACUGGAAUUCCUGGUGUAGCGGUGGAAUGCGCAGAUAUCAGGAGGAACACCAAUGGCGAAGGCAGGUCUCUGGGCCAUUACUGACACUGAGGAGCGAAAGUUCGGGGAGCGAACAGGAUU